UAGGGAAUAUUGGACAAUGGGUGAGAGCCUGAUCCAGCCAUGCCGCGUGCAGGAAGAAGGCCUUCUGGGUUGUAAACUGCUUUUAUCUGGGGAUAAAAAGGCCUUGCGAGGCAAACUGAAGGUACCAGAUGAAUAAGCCACGGCUAACUACGUGCCAGCAGCCGCGGUAAUACGUAGGUGGCAAGCGUUGUCCGGAUUUAUUGGGUUUAAAGGGUGCGUAGGCGGUUUAUUAAGUCAGUGGUGAAAGACGAUAGCUUAACUAUCGAGGUGCCAUUGAUACUGAUGAACUUGAGUGCACACGAGGUAAGCGGAAUGGACGGUGUAGCGGUGAAAUGCAUAGAUAUCGUCCAGAACACCGAUAGUGAAGACAGCUUACCAGAGUGCAACUGACGCUGAGGCACGAAAGUGUGGGGAUCAAACAGG
Molecule: ribosomal RNA, 423 nt
Filed under: uncultured Flammeovirgaceae bacterium
Lineage: Bacteria; Pseudomonadati; Bacteroidota; Cytophagia; Cytophagales; Flammeovirgaceae
Description: bacterial SSU rRNA
Rfam family: Bacterial small subunit ribosomal RNA
Source: RNAcentral